RNAcentral lists this long non-coding RNA (943 nucleotides) under Capsicum annuum. RNAcentral's name for it is "long non-coding RNA (CANN_LNC022484)". Lineage: Eukaryota; Viridiplantae; Streptophyta; Magnoliopsida; Solanales; Solanaceae. The record is from RNAcentral.
CUACAUCAUCAAAUGUCUAACCCUACUUUAUAUAUACGGAGAGAUUAGAAAAUGACACAAAAAUAAUAUACGGUGAAAUAUCAAUGUCUCUUUCAAAAGAUUCAAGCUUAAAACAUUUAUAAAAUAGAUAAAUAAAUAAACUAUUUAUACAACGAAUCUCUAAAUUUAAUGUCUACAAGUUCAACGUUGAAAGAUUUGGCAUGGAGUUGAUUAUCUCCGUUAUAUAAGAUCAUGAUGAAGCCCCAAAAAAGCUUAGAUCUAUAUUAUUAUAUAUAAUAUAUAUCUAGAGAUGGAUUAAGUAGGGGUGGUAAAGCGAAAUAUGACACCCUCCUGAUUUUGUAAAGCCAACCGCACCCACCCACUGAUGUUAAAAUAAGAGCAGAUCAAUUUUACCAGCAAAAUAAAUUUGAACUACAAAGAUAAAUGGAAACUUAAGGAUAAUUAGAUUCGAGAGAAAACUUAAGUUUGAUAAUAACUUAACUUAAAAUAGCUUAUAUUCAAGACAAAUUUUAUUCAUCGAUAUAACAUCAAUGGCCAAUCGCCAUGAAACUAGCUAACAUGACCAAUCAACUGACCAAAUGUUACGGAAGUCUUAUUAGAAGCAAUGUGUGAAUUGAUCCCCUUCAACAUUUCCCUUUCAUAGGGAAAAAUAUAUCUAUAUCUAUAUAUAUAGAUAUAUAGAUAUAGAUAUAUUUUUCCCUAUGAAAGGGAAAUGUUGAAGGGGAUCAAUUCACACAUUGAUUGAAAGAAGCUAUUUGCAAUUGCCGCCGAGUCUCACGGCAAAUGCCUGUAAAGCCAAAAGAAUUUCUUUGAGCCUCUUCUUGGUUUCUUCAUCUAUCAGAUUGCCCUUAUCAUCAAACAUUGGUGGUAGGUCUAAUACAUUGAGGAAAAAUUAAGGUUUGUUAAUGAAAUGAAUAUCGAAUCUGACUCCCAUAUGUCGAAG